This 465-nucleotide ribosomal RNA is filed under the name Vreelandella stevensii. RNAcentral describes it as "partial 16S ribosomal RNA". It matches the Rfam family "Bacterial small subunit ribosomal RNA", at positions 338 to 795 of the family's 1533-position model. Lineage: Bacteria; Pseudomonadati; Pseudomonadota; Gammaproteobacteria; Oceanospirillales; Halomonadaceae. The record is from RNAcentral.
CCUACGGGUGGCAGCAGUGGGGAAUAUUGGACAAUGGGGGGAACCCUGAUCCAGCCAUGCCGCGUGUGUGAAGAAGGCCCUCGGGUUGUAAAGCACUUUCAGUGAGGAAGAACGCCUGGUGGUUAAUACCCAUCAGGAAAGACAUCACUCACAGAAGAAGCACCGGCUAACUCCGUGCCAGCAGCCACGGUAAUACGGAGGGUGCGAGCGUUAAUCGGAAUUACUGGGCGUAAAGCGCGCGUAGGUGGCUUGAUAAGCCGGUUGUGAAAGCCCCGGGCUCAACCUGGGAACGGCAUCCGGAACUGUCAAGCUAGAGUGCAGGAGAGGAAGGUAGAAUUCCCGGUGUAGCGGUGAAAUGCGUAGAGAUCGGGAGGAAUACCAGUGGCGAAGGCGGCCUUCUGGACUGACACUGACACUGAGGUGCGAAAGCGUGGGUAGCAAACAGGAUUAGAUACCCCAGUAGUC